GCACCUGGUCCAUAUGGCCUCUCUUUCCUCUUUUUGCAAGAAUUUUGGGAUGUCAUCAAACAAGAUGUUAUGGCUCUAUUUGAUGACUUCCAUGCAGGCAACCUAGAUAUAUAUAGACUAAAUUUUGCCAUGAUUACCCUCAUCUCUAAAGAAGAAGAUGCCACCAACAUGAGAAAAUUUAGGCCAAUUAGCUUGCUGAAUUGUAUUUUUAAAGUUUUUACAAAAGUUUUGACCAAUAGGCUUGCUGUUGUUAUGAACUUCCUCACUUCUAGUAACCAGUCAGCUUUCAUUAAGGGGAGGUAUAUCCUUGAAAGUGUGGUGACUGCGCAUGAGGUGUUACAUUCUACUUUUCAUGCUGACAACUCAGGACUAGUGCUUAAACUAGACUAUGAGAAGGCCUUUGACAAGGUCAAUCUAGAUUUCUUGUUAGAGAUCCUUCACAAAAGAAACUUUGGUCAUGUAUGA
Molecule: ribosomal RNA, 465 nt
Filed under: Triticum aestivum (bread wheat)
Lineage: Eukaryota; Viridiplantae; Streptophyta; Magnoliopsida; Poales; Poaceae
Description: partial small subunit ribosomal RNA
Source: RNAcentral